RNAcentral lists this unclassified non-coding RNA (2808 nucleotides) under Hevea brasiliensis (rubber tree). The record is from RNAcentral. Lineage: Eukaryota; Viridiplantae; Streptophyta; Magnoliopsida; Malpighiales; Euphorbiaceae.
UAAAAUAUCAUAAUAACAAAAAAAUAAGCUAUUUGUCAUCAACAAUAUCAUUACUCAUCAUCACUAUCGGCCUCUCUACCAUCAUUCUGAUGAGUCCCACUGGAGUUAGGGCUGUGAACUGCGCACUCUGCAUCAUUUGUGCCAUCAUGUUUUGCAUUAUUUAUUGCAUGCGCUCCUCCAACAUCUGCUCAUAUUAUCAGUAUCUCUCCUCCAGCAUCAGCUCGCGUUAUCAGUCUUUCUCCUCCAUAACUGAUCAUUCAAUCAAUUGUGUGAUAUAGCCACUAAACUCUUGCCCGAGAAUCAAAGGUGUUGCAUCUUGAAUGUGUGUGCGACCAAUUUUGACAAUAUCUUUGAAUUCAGUAGACUUUGAAAGUAGUGUAGUGAGCAAAUUAGUGUGCAAAUUUCUCAAAUUUGGUAUUAAUCUUGAAUUUAUUUCUGUUGCAGCUGCAAUGUGCAUUACCUCUGUUACAAACCAGAUUGGGGCAAUAUAAAAACCAUAGGUGGCAAUUUCCCUACUUGUAAGCUCUUUGUCAUGUUUCAACACAUUAAAAUCAUCUUUGCGUCUGCGAAUCAAAGGCCUUCCCUCUACUUGUGGUGAAAGGUCUGCUUGUCAUGUUUCAAAACAUUAAAAUCAAUUGCAUAGUUAAAGAAAAAAAAAAUGAACCCCAUUUAUAUUUAAAUUAAUUAAGGAUAUGAUUUCAUUAAACUAAUUAACAAAGAACGCAGCAAUAAUUUUUUUAUUUGACUUCUCACCUCGAAUCGGUGCCGAGCCAAAAUACUACUAUUUCAAAAAAAUAAAAUUAAAAAUGCAAUCAUGAUGUCUCUUUAUAGUUUAUGAUAAUAAUUAUAUACUUGUUGACCAAAAUAAAAGCAUAUAUUUAUAUAUUAGGAUAUGGUUCAAUGAAAUUGGACCAUUUCUAAGUAUUGAUCCUUCAAGAUUUCAUCCAUUAAUUCUGCCUAAUCAAAACCCAUUUUAUAAGGCGAAAUGAAUUUCAAUCUACAAAAAUAAUUUCUUAGUAUAUAGUAAUUAAAAUGUUAUUUAUUAUAUUUUUUUAUUAAAAAUUUUAAUAAUCCAGAUAAUAAUUAAUAGACUACAUAAUAAAAAAAAAAUACAGCUUGAUUAAAUAACAAAUUUCAUCAAAAUCUAGUUAUUUCAAUUAUGAUUUAGUGAUUCACAAUAUAAUGUUCAGGGAUUUAUUUAGAUUCUUUUCUUUCUUACUAAAAGCUUAAUAUUUUAAAAUUUAAAUUGAAGAACGAAAAUUUCAUUCUGAUGAAAAAUUCAUGCAUUAAUCUGUCAAUAACAUGAAUUAAAAAAAUAAAUAAACAAAAUUGAUGAAAGAAGAAGGCAGCAACAUAAUCAACAAACAAUUAAUACUGAUUUGAUUCCAGUAAGAACCUACCUAUAUAUAUAAUAUAAACACUAAUGAUAAAUAAAAUUAUAAACAAAGCAAUUAGUCAGCCAUUCUCAAAGCAUGAAUUAUCAUAAAACACGUCACAAUCAUUACCAAAGAUUAUUUUUUCUUGUGCAUUGACCUUACCAUUGGCACACUCUAUACCUAGCUCCGCAGCUUCAAUUAAGAAACCAGAAAACAAAUGUAACAGCUAGAAAAAGAAAGAGAAAAGAAAAAUAAGUGUUGGAGAACCAAAGAUGAAGAAAUAAUUGUAAACAAGAACUAGCUAGCUAGUAUCCCCAUUUGUCACGCAUUUCAUGACCAUUAAUUCCACAUACUCGAUCAGAAAAAUAAAUCUUUCAAAAUUAAGCACAAAGGAGUUUGUUUGAAUUAAAAACUAGAACCAUAGAAAUCAAUUAAGGGCCAAAGAGAAGAAAUCAGAUUCAUGUAGAGCCAUUUUCAGAUCUAUCAAAAUGGAGAAGUUGGCCAUUGCAUUUGGGGCAAUCUUCAACCUGUUUUGGGACCAUGAAGUACAUGAGGCAGCUCUUGCAACCAGCGACAACAAGGACGUGGUCUUCUCUCUGCACCCGAUAAUGCUCUCUUGAAGAAGAUGAAGGAGAGGAUUCUGAUGAUGACUCUUCACUGUCAUAUGAACUGUCAUCUUCUGAGUAGAAAUCCCCACUGUAUUCUUGUGUUACCCGUGGAUCUUCUUUGGCUUUCAUUCCAUUCCUCCAGUUUAUAUAGUAAAUCUCCCCUGUCUGCAAAUACAAGCAAACCCUUAAAGAAAUAUUACAAAUCUUCCACACUGGCCAUUGAUUUCAAUAUGAAAGAAAAAAGAAGAGAACACUGAAACUUAAUGGCUAUAAUCAAGAGAAAAGAAGAUGUUUUUGUGUUGUCCAUUAAUUCAAAGGCUAUAAUACAAUUAACAACCCCAGAAAGAAAAAAUGAAAGAAAAUGGGAAUUGCUUGGUCCCCAUCAAAGUAAAGGCAACCAUAAAACUAGCUAAUCAAACCCUGCAAAUUAUUUUCUUCCCUUCAAUUUCCUUUGUUAUUUUAACACCAACAAUAAUAAAAAAGAAACAAAAUUUAUCUGGUGGUCAAAGCUGGAAAUUUCAUUUCAUCCCUUUUUCUUCCUUUAGAAGUGCAGACCAAAAAGGUUAAUUAAGAAAGGAGAAAAAUGUUACUCCAUAUUUAGGGUUUUUUUAAUACUCUAUUUUGAUCUGGUUAUUAUUAUGUGAGGCAGAAAAGGAAAGCGGAAAGCAGAAGCAUUAAAAACAAAGAGCAUUGAAGAAGAAAAGACAUAUAUUUCCUCAGAAAGUAACAAAAGAAAACAAGAGAUCUGCAUUUAUUGAAGCUAUAAGAAAAGAAAGAGGCUUUUAAAUUAUUUUUCUUUUUAAAAAAGGUACCUUUAAAUCUAG